UACGCUCUUCGGAGGAAAGAUUUAUCGCCAAAGGAUCGGCCCGCGUUGGAUUAGGUAGUUGGUGGGGUAAUGGCCUACCAAGCCGACGAUCCAUAGCUGGUUUGAGAGGAUGAUCAGCCACACUGGGACUGAGACACGGCCCAGACUCCUACGGGAGGCAGCAGUGGGGAAUCUUAGACAAUGGGGGCAACCCUGAUCUAGCCAUGCCGCGUGAGUGAUGAAGGCCCUAGGGUUGUAAAGCUCUUUCAGCUGGGAAGAUAAUGACGGUACCAGCAGAAGAAGCCCCGGCUAACUCCGUGCCAGCAGCCGCGGUAAUACGGAGGGGGCUAGCGUUGUUCGGAAUUACNGGGCGUAAAGCGCGCGUAGGCGGAUCAGCAAGUUAGGGGUGAAAUCCCGGGGCUCAACCCCGGAACUGCCUCUAAAACUGUUGGUCUUGA
RNAcentral lists this ribosomal RNA (437 nucleotides) under Paracoccus sp. DS. RNAcentral describes it as "bacterial SSU rRNA". It matches the Rfam family "Bacterial small subunit ribosomal RNA", at positions 188 to 645 of the family's 1533-position model. The record is from RNAcentral. Lineage: Bacteria; Pseudomonadati; Pseudomonadota; Alphaproteobacteria; Rhodobacterales; Paracoccaceae.